CCACCGCAGUCAUCCAACAAGAUCAAUUCAUCAAAACAAUUCAAACAUGAAUUUUAUAUUGCUUGUAUUUUUCACAAUUUUGACUUAUAAUUCUAAAGAAUAUGUAGUAGCCGAGUCGAUAUUACCAAUUUUAAGCCCAGAGCCUCCUAGUGCUGAACCAUGCAUUAACUGCGCAAUAUAUUGGUCAAAGGAGUUGUGUGAUGAACAAAACAUGGAUCAAUUUCCAGGUUCAUGUUACGAGUGCUCCAACUGUAUUCCGAGAAAGAAUUAAAUUAAACCAAAUAUGUACUACAUGUACAAAUUCAACAACAACAAAACGUAAUCUGCGGUUUAUUAUUAUAAAUUAUUCAUGACUCACAAAAACUUUUUUAUUGUAUUAUUAACGUUGUUAAAGUGGGGAUUUGUAAUAUGAACUUGUUUAUAUAAACGCGACGUCCUUGUAUAGUCUGACAUUACUCACUAAAGCCCAAACCAUUCAGCUGGUUUUAUUUAAGAUUAAUUGUAUAACAUAAUAAUUUAACUCAUUAAAUAUGAAGUGUAGUACGUUUGUUAUUCUCGUCGCAUUUAUUGUGAUGCUGGGUUUUCAAUCUAAUUGUUGUGACGCAGCCACUGCAUCAACCGAUCAAGUGUGCAUUAAUUGUUUUGCGUACUGGAGUAAGGAACAUUGCGCAAGUUUAGGAAUGGAUCAAGUUGAAGCGACUUGUACAAGCUGUUCACGGUGUAUUCCAAGAAAUUCAAAGUAAGCAAAGGAAAAAAUCGUAGAAAAUAACAACAUUGAUAUAUUACAUCAAAAGUGACAAUAAAUGAAUUGAAAAUA
Molecule: long non-coding RNA, 817 nt
Organism: Dalotia coriaria
Lineage: Eukaryota; Metazoa; Arthropoda; Insecta; Coleoptera; Staphylinidae
Exons: 3
Source: RefSeq, a predicted model, not a curated record